GGUUUUUUCCAUCUUGCACCUAGGUACAAUGUACCUAGGUAAUGGAUGGGCGACACGUGGCAUGCAAUUCUAUUUCAUUUACUUUUAUUUUUUCGGCCCAUUUAACUCAACCCAGGUUUGAAAUUGGGCCCCACUUGGCAGCUGGUUUUAGUAUUGUACAAUCUUAAUACUGUAUUUGGUUUUAUUUUUAAUGUUGAAUACAUCUGCGGGCCCCAUAAUUGUUAAAGCUUCCAAGUGAAGCUUCUAUUCCUUAAAAAUAUCUGGUACCGCAUUCAAUUAAUUUUGAAUUUUACUAGUGGGUCUCAUUUUAGUUUUAAUUUGCAGAAUUGUGAGGCAAAAUUUUCCGGUCGUCAUUUUUUUUGGUGGGAAGAGAGAAUGCGAUUUUGUGCUUCAUUUUUCAUCAAACCUAGAAGUCCGGCACCGACAGCUUUGGCAUCCUUGCCGGAGACAUCUUCCCGGAGUUGUGGUUGUGGUUAAGCCCCGACGGAGCUUUUUUUGCUUGGAAGGUUGAAUGCUACUGUGUUCGUCAUUUUGCAUCUAUGUUUAAGAAUUUUGUCACCGAUUGCGUUGUCGACAUCUCCCCGUAGCUGUGGCUGGCGUUAACCCACCGGCGGAGGGAAUUUCCGAUAUGGCGGUACCGCCGAAGCAAAGGAGAUUCUGAAAUAGCGAAGUUUUGGUGCUCAUGUUUCUCAGCGAAGUUACCCGGGUUUGUAAACUUUAGAGUAGCCAUUGUGGAUAAGUGAUGUGUUUUUGGAUUUGAUGUGGUGCAAAAAAGAAUGAGAAGAUCAAAGUCUGGCGUGUUUUCGAUAACCUUGAAGCUGUAUCCGGGCAAAUACGAGAUCAAAUUCAUAGUUAAUGGACAAUGGAAACUCGAUCCUCUGCGCCCUACCGUCAAUAAUAAUGGACAUCAAUACAAUCUUUUCAUCGUUACAUGAAUCUGUACAGAAUUUGUUUGCACUUAUAGGUAGAAAAAUACACCAAAAAGUUGGUGUACAGCUUGCUAAUGCUAUGAUCUUAUUACCAUACAUAUGAGUUAUUUGUUACUUUUAUUUAUAUUAUUUUCGUUUUUC
Long non-coding RNA from Salvia miltiorrhiza (redroot sage), 1070 nucleotides. RefSeq lists it as uncharacterized. The transcript has 3 exons. Lineage: Eukaryota; Viridiplantae; Streptophyta; Magnoliopsida; Lamiales; Lamiaceae. The record is from RefSeq and is a predicted model, not a curated record.